Molecule: long non-coding RNA, 228 nt
Filed under: Solanum tuberosum (potato)
Lineage: Eukaryota; Viridiplantae; Streptophyta; Magnoliopsida; Solanales; Solanaceae
Description: long non-coding RNA (STUB_LNC000842)
Source: RNAcentral
AACAAGCUUCAAAAUAAAAGACAAACAAUAUAUCAAAAUUUGUAAGCAAGGGUUAGCCGAUAUAUCCAAACAAUAUAAUUAAGACUCGAAAAAAGAAAGGCUAAGAAAUAUUGGACUCCUAAUUUGUGAGACUCCAAGCGUUGCAAUGAUCCUAACCGCUGUUGGCCUAAUACUUUAGGCCAAUAACGAGUUCCAAAGUAGAAACUCCAGCUCUCCGGUUGUACAUGA